This 488-nucleotide ribosomal RNA is filed under the name uncultured bacterium. RNAcentral describes it as "bacterial SSU rRNA". It matches the Rfam family "Bacterial small subunit ribosomal RNA", at positions 28 to 507 of the family's 1533-position model. The record is from RNAcentral.
GAUGAACGCUAGCUACAGGCUUAACACAUGCAAGUCGAGGGGCAGCGCAGUGUAGCAAUACAGUGGGCCGGCGACCGGCGCACGGGUGCGUAACGCGUAUCCAACCUUCCCGUUACUCAGGGAUAGCCUUCCGAAAGGGAGAUUAAUACCUGAUGGUGUUGAAAUUCCGCAUGUUAUUUCAACUAAAGAUUUAUCGGUAACGGAUGGGGAUGCGUGACAUUAGGUAGAUGGCGGGGUAACGGCCCACCAUGCCUACGAUGUCUAGGGGUUCUGAGAGGAAGGUCCCCCACACUGGAACUGAGACACGGUCCAGACUCCUACGGGAGGCAGCAGUGAGGAAUAUUGGUCAAUGGUCGGAAGACUGAACCAGCCAAGUAGCGUGAAGGAUGAAGGUUCUAUGGAUUGUAAACUUCUUUUAUACGGGAAUAAAACCUCCCACGUGUGGGAGCUUGUAUGUACCGUAUGAAUAAGCAUCGGCUAACUCCGUG